This 413-nucleotide ribosomal RNA is filed under the name uncultured bacterium. RNAcentral's name for it is "bacterial SSU rRNA". It matches the Rfam family "Bacterial small subunit ribosomal RNA", at positions 505 to 916 of the family's 1533-position model. The record is from RNAcentral.
GUGCCAGCCGCCGCGGUAAGACGAGGGAUCCUAGCGUUGUUCGGAAUUAUUGGGCGUAAAGCGGGUGUAGGUGGCUUUGUAAGUCAGGUGUGAAAGCCUAGGGCUCAACCCUAGAAGUGCAUUUGAUACUGCGAAGCUUGAGUGUUGGAGAGGAUAGUAGAAUUGUUGGUGUAGUGGUGAAAUACGUAGAUAUCAACAGGAAUACCGGAGGCGAAGGCGGCUAUCUGGCCAAACACUGACACUGAGAUCCGAAAGCGUGGGGAUCAAACAGGAUUAGAUACCCUGGUAGUCCACGCUGUAAACGAUGGAUACUUGUUGUUGGAGGUAUUGACCCCUUCAGUGACGAAGCUAACGCGUUAAGUAUCCCGCCUGGGGAGUACGGUCGCAAGAUUAAAACUCAAAUGAAUUGGCGG